UUCUGCCGAGGUCUUGCUGUGCCUCUAGA
Molecule: non-coding RNA, 29 nt
Filed under: Rattus norvegicus (Norway rat)
Lineage: Eukaryota; Metazoa; Chordata; Mammalia; Rodentia; Muridae
Source: RNAcentral